This 63-nucleotide transfer RNA is filed under the name Tettigades opaca. RNAcentral's name for it is "tRNA-His". The record is from RNAcentral. Lineage: Eukaryota; Metazoa; Arthropoda; Insecta; Hemiptera; Cicadidae.
ACCUAAUUAGUUUAACAAAAAUAUUAAGUUGUGGAUUUAAAGACAUAAAUAUUAUAUUAGGUC